RNAcentral lists this ribosomal RNA (862 nucleotides) under uncultured bacterium. Its description in RNAcentral is "bacterial SSU rRNA". It matches the Rfam family "Bacterial small subunit ribosomal RNA", at positions 21 to 902 of the family's 1533-position model. The record is from RNAcentral.
GGCUCAGGAUGAACGCUGGCGGCGUGCCUAACACAUGCAAGUCGAACGUGAUUCUGUUUUCGGACAGAUGAAAGUGGCGAACGGGUGAGUAACACGUUGGUGACCUGCCCCGAAGUGGGGGAUAACUCUGGGAAACCAGAGCUAAUACCCCAGAUGUUUAAGGGUUUAGACGCCUUAAACUAAAACUGAGGUGCUUCGGGAGGGGCUUGCGGGCUAUCAGCUAGUUGGUGAGGUAAAGGCUCACCAAGGCGAAGACGGCUAGGGGGCGUGAGAGCGUGACCCCCCACAAGGGAACUGAGAAACGGUCCCUACUCCUACGGGAGGCAGCAGUGAGGAAUAUUGAGCAAUGGGCGCAAGCCUGACUCAGCAACGCCGCGUGGAUGAUGACGGCCUUCGGGUUGUAAAAUCCUUUUCUGGGGGAAGAUAAUGACGGUACCCCAGGAAUAAGUUCCGGCUAACUACGUGCCAGCAGCCGCGGUAAAACGUAGGGGACAAGCGUUAUCCGGAUUUACUGGGCGUAAAGCGCAUGUAGGUGGCCUUUCAAGUUGGACGUGAAAGCUCCCGGCUUAACUGGGAGAGGUCGUUCAAAACUGGGGGGCUUGAGGAUGGAAGAGGAGAGCGGAAUUCCCGGUGUAGUGGUGGAAUGCGUAGAUAUCGGGAGGAACACCAGUGGCGAAAGCGGCUCUCUGGUUCACCCCUGACACUGAGAUGCGAAAGCGUGGGGAGCGAACGGGAUUAGAUACCCCGGUAGUCCACGCUGUAAACGAUGGAUACUAGGUGUAGGCGGUCAUUAACCCCGUCUGUGCCGAAGCCAACGCGUUAAGUAUCCCGCCUGGGGACUACGGCCCGCAGGGUUAAACUC